This 1166-nucleotide ribosomal RNA is filed under the name uncultured Rheinheimera sp. RNAcentral describes it as "bacterial SSU rRNA". It matches the Rfam family "Bacterial small subunit ribosomal RNA", at positions 212 to 1368 of the family's 1533-position model. The record is from RNAcentral. Lineage: Bacteria; Pseudomonadati; Pseudomonadota; Gammaproteobacteria; Chromatiales; Chromatiaceae.
CACAUGCUAUCGGAUGCGCCUACGUGGGAUUAGCUAGUUGGUGAGGUAAUGGCUCACCAAGGCGAUGAUCCCUAGCUGGUUUGAGAGGAUGAUCAGCCACACUGGAACUGAGACACGGUCCAGACUCCUACGGGAGGCAGCAGUGGGAAUAUUGGACAAUGGGCGCAAGCCUGAUCCAGCCAUGCCGCGUGUGUGAAGAAGGCCUUCGGGUUGUAAAGCACUUUCAGUUGGGAGGAAGGGUUGCGUGUUAAUAGUACACAGCCUUGACGUUACCAACAGAAGAAGCACCGGCUAACUCUGUGCCAGCAGCCGCGGUAAUACAGAGGGUGCAAGCGUUAAUCGGAAUUACUGGGCGUAAAGCGCACGUAGGCGGUUUUUUAAGUCAGAUGUGAAAGCCCCGGGCUUAACCUGGGAAUUGCAUUUGAAACUGGAAAACUAGAGUGUGUGAGAGGAGGGUAGAAUUCCAAGUGUAGCGGUGAAAUGUGUAGAGAUUUGGANGNGAAUACCAGUGGCGAAGGCGGCCCCCUGGCACAACACUGACGCUCAGGUGCGAAAGCGUGGGGAGCAAACAGGAUUAGAUACCCUGGUAGUCCACGCCGUAAACGAUGUCUACUAGCUGUUCGUGACCUUGUGUCGUGAGUAGCGCAGCUAACGCACUAAGUAGACCGCCUGGGGAGUACGGNUCGCAAGAUUAAAACUCAAAUGAAUUGACGGGGGCCCGCACAAGCGGUGGAGCAUGUGGUUUAAUUCGACGCAACGCGAAGAACCUUACCUACUCUUGACAUCCAGAGAAGACUGCAGAGAUGCGGUUGUGCCUUCGGGAACUCUGAGACAGGUGCUGCAUGGCUGUCGUCAGCUCGUGUUGUGAAAUGUUGGGUUAAGUCCCGCAACGAGCGCAACCCUUAUCCUUAGUUGCCAGCACGUAAUGGUGGGAACUCUAUGGAGACUGCCGGUGAUAAACCGGAGGAGGGUGGGGACGACGUCAAGUCAUCAUGGCCCUUACGAGUAGGGCUACACACGUGCUACAAUGGUAUGUACAGAGGGAGGCAAGCUGGCGACAGUGAGCGGAUCUCUUAAAGCAUAUCGUAGUCCGGAUCGCAGUCUGCAACUCGACUGCGUGAAGUCGGAAUCGCUAGUAAUCGCAAAUCAGAAUGUUGCGGUGAAUA